This 1307-nucleotide unclassified non-coding RNA is filed under the name uncultured Spizellomycetales. Its description in RNAcentral is "sequence contains ITS2, 28S rRNA gene". The stretch from base 258 to 1307 matches the Rfam family "Eukaryotic large subunit ribosomal RNA", at positions 1 to 961 of the family's 3401-position model. The record is from RNAcentral. Lineage: Eukaryota; Fungi; Chytridiomycota; Chytridiomycetes; Spizellomycetales.
UUUCAAAGUCUCCCUAGGUCUCUGUGUCUUAUGCAUGGUAACAAAGGGAGGUAUUGGACAAAUUGAGUGGUGCUAGCUGCCCAAUUGUCUGAAACCAAUUGUCCCAAUGGCCACAGUGGCUUGUGAGUCCAACGGUCACAAAGUGCAACAGAUGCUUGUAGUCUCUUAUUACCACUUUGCUGCUGGCUCAUGUCACGGGGUGCUGGGACCCACUCUGUACACGGCAGUGAUGGGUGAUCCUACUCUGCCGAUCAACUUGAUCUGAAAUCGGGCAAGAAAACCCGCUGAACUUAAGCAUAUCAAUAAGCGGAGGAAAAGAAACUAACAAGGAUUCCCCUAGUAACGGCGAGUGAAGCGGGAACAGCUCAAAUUUGAAAUCCCCCAGGUCCGCAUGCCUGCGAGAAUUGUAGUUUAGAGAAGCGUCUUCCAGGGUGGCAUGGGUAUAAGUCCUCUGGAAUGGGGCAUCAUAGAGGGUGAGAAUCCCGUUUAUGAUCCAUGGCCUCCACUUUGAUGUGAUACGCUUUCCAAGAGUCAGGUAGUUUGGGAUUGCUGCCUAAAAUGGGUGGUAAAUACCAUCUAAAGCUAAAUAUUGGCGAGAUACCGAUAGCGAACAAGUACCGUGAGGGAAAGAUGAAAAGAACUUUGAAAAGAGAGUUAAACAGUACGUGAAAUUGCCAAAAGGGAAACGCUUGGAGCCAGUAUUGCAUGCACACAAUCAGCCGCCCAGCUGGAAACGGUCAGUGCGGUGCACUUGUGUGUAUGCAGGUCAACAUCAGUUUGACCUUGGGUAAAAAGCUGUGCGAAGGUAGCUUGGGCUUUGGCCUGAGUGUUAUAGCGCACUGUGAUGCCCAGGAUUAGACUGAGGUCUGCAGCGUCAAUUGGGUACCUGGCUGCCUCCCAAAUCUCGUCUCUGGACAGCUCGCUGACUAGGGAUGGGCCUAGGGAGCCCGGUCGGCUUGCCACACCAACGCUUGGGAUGUUGACGAAAUGGCUUCAAACGACCCGUCUUGAAACACGGACCAAGGAGUCUAACAUAUAUGCGAGUAUUUGGGUGGCAAACCCUUAUGCGAAAUGAAAGUGAACUUAGGUGGGAUCUUCGGUGCACCAUCGACCGGUCUGGAUUUUUUUGAUAGAUCUGAGUAAGAGCAUAUCUGUUGGGACCCGAAAGAUGGUGAACUAUGCCUGAAUAGGGUGAAGCCAGAGGAAACUCUGGUGGAGGCUCGUAGCGAUUCUGACGUGCAAAUCGAUCGUCAAAUUUGGGUAUAGGGGCGAAAGACUAAUCGAACCAUCUAGUAGCUGGUUCCCUC